Molecule: ribosomal RNA, 320 nt
Filed under: uncultured eukaryote
Lineage: Eukaryota
Description: partial 18S ribosomal RNA
Rfam family: Eukaryotic small subunit ribosomal RNA
Source: RNAcentral
CCCCUAGAUGUUCUGGGCCGCACGCGCGCUACACUGAACAGUUCAACAAGUCUUAACCUUGGCCGAUAGGUCUGGGUAAUCUUUGAACGCUGUUCGUGAUUGGGAUAGACCUUUGCAAUUAUGGGUCUUCAACGAGGAAUUCCUAGUAAACGCAAGUCAUCAGCUUGCAUUGAUUACGUCCCCGCCCUUUGUACACACCGCCCGUCGCACCUACCGAUUGAAUGGUCCGGUGAAAUCUCGGGACGGCGGCUCGGUCGCUUGCGUCCGACUGCUGAAACUUGAUUAAACCAUAUCAUUUAGAGGAAGGUGAAGUCGUAACA